Molecule: ribosomal RNA, 1212 nt
Filed under: Triticum aestivum (bread wheat)
Lineage: Eukaryota; Viridiplantae; Streptophyta; Magnoliopsida; Poales; Poaceae
Description: partial small subunit ribosomal RNA
Source: RNAcentral
AUGGAGGAGGGAGAGUUGUCUGCUGGCAAUAUGGAUGGAGAUAGUAACAUUACCAUUUCUCUGGGUUACCCUGGCAGUGCCAACUCUGUUUCCUAUGCUAAUGGUCUCGUGGCGCCACUAGAAGGAGGUAUCCCAGAUUUGAAUGAGUUACUUGGGCCCAUUGCAAAUGGCCCAGCUCCGGAAGCCCAUGUGCCACUGGUACCUCAGGUGAUUGAACCAGUUCAGCCUGCACUUGAGGAGGGCCUAGUAAAUGCUCUUAUCAAUAUCAAUCGGCCCAGUGUGGGUCACAACAUGGGACUUCUUCCACAACAGAUUGUCCCUCAUUAUUCUGACAUCUCAGUGGAUCCUAUGCAACUUGAAUUACUAGCCAAUGCUAAUUAUCAACCAACAGCUCCAACAUUACAGGCUAAUCUAGUUAAUCAGGCUAAUCCAGUGGCAGGUAGUACUUCUGCACAGAAAACUUUAUGUGAAGAUCAGAAUGCAGCACCUAAAGAGACUGACCAAGUGGAAGGGAUACCUGAAGAUUCUAACUCAGGUGAGCAUGUUCCUAACAUGUCUGCACCACCUGGGUUUCCUAUUCCAGCAUAUCUUAAUGAGCCCCACACUAUUCAAUUAGGGGGACAACAUAGUAAACUCCAAGGGACACAGAUUAUACAACAAAGUCUUCUGACAGAGGAGGAACAACACUUGGGCAUAGAGGGAGCCAGAGUUUGGAGGGAGCCUUUUGCACCAAGUCCUAAUAGCAAUGAGGUGAUUCAAGUUCUUGUUGAUUGGGCCAAUUUUCUUUCAGCGGUAUUGCUCACACCUGGGAAAUUUGCAUGGGCAAAGCAAUUUAUUAAUUCUCAAGUCUGGGAGAUUAUCACAUGGGGCUCUACUUGUCUUUAUACCUUGCCAUUUGCUAUCCCACAAUCAUGCUCUACUGAGAAUACUCUCUGUACUCUCUCUCAGCAGCUGCAUGACAAGAUGGAGCAGGAAGCCAGUUCUCCUCUACCAACUGCAUCUACAGACUCCAUUACUGCAUCCUCUACAUCUGCACUUCAGAAAAACAGAAAGAGGAAGGACAAGGCACCAUUGGUUGAAACUGAGGUCAACGAGAAGGACACCACUGAGGAGCAGCCGCAGACUAAGAAUAAGAAGAGCAAGAGCUCCAACCCAGCUAAGGAGCACAUCAGGAAGACUGCGGCUUCCAAGGAUAGCUCCAAGGCUACCUAG